UGGGGAAUAUUGCACAAUGGGGGAAACCCUGAUGCAGCGACGCCGCGUGAAGGAAAGAAGUAUCUCGGUAUGUAAACUUCUAUCAGCAGGGAAGACAAUGACGGUACCUGACUAAGAAGCCCCGGCUAACUACGUGCC
RNAcentral lists this ribosomal RNA (138 nucleotides) under uncultured bacterium. RNAcentral's name for it is "partial 16S ribosomal RNA". It matches the Rfam family "Bacterial small subunit ribosomal RNA", at positions 355 to 509 of the family's 1533-position model. The record is from RNAcentral.